Molecule: ribosomal RNA, 253 nt
Filed under: uncultured bacterium
Lineage: Bacteria
Description: partial 16S ribosomal RNA
Rfam family: Bacterial small subunit ribosomal RNA
Source: RNAcentral
UACGUAGGGCGCAAGCGUUGUCCGGAAUUAUUGGGCGUAAAGAGCUCGUAGGCGGUUUGUCGCGUCUGCUGUGAAAUCCUCAGGCUCAACUUGGGGCGUGCAGUGGGUACGGGCAGACUAGAGUGCGGUAGGGGAGAUUGGAAUUCCUGGUGUAGCGGUGGAAUGCGCAGAUAUCAGGAGGAACACCAAUGGCGAAGGCAGAUCUCUGGGCCGUAACUGACGCUGAGGAGCGAAAGCAUGGGGAGCGAACAGG